GAUGAACGCUGGCGGCGUGCCUAAUACAUGCAAGUCGAGCGAACAGAUAAGGAGCUUGCUCCUUUGACGUUAGCGGCGGACGGGUGAGUAACACGUGGGUAACCUACCUAUAAGACUGGAAUAACUCCGGGAAACCGGGGCUAAUGCCGGAUAACAUUUAGAACCGCAUGGUUCUAAAGUGAAAGAUGGUUUUGCUAUCACUUAUAGAUGGACCCGCGCCGUAUUAGCUAGUUGGUAAGGUAACGGCUUACCAAGGCAACGAUACGUAGCCGACCUGAGAGGGUGAUCGGCCACACUGGAACUGAGACACGGUCCAGACUCCUACGGGAGGCAGCAGUAGGGAAUCUUCCGCAAAGGGCGAAAGCCCGACGGAGCAACGCCGCGUGAGUGAUGAAGGUCUUCGGAUCGUAAAACUCUGUUAUUAGGGAAGAACAAAUGUGUAAGUAACUGUGCACGUCUUGACGGUACCUAAUCAGAAAGCCACGGCUAACUACGUG
RNAcentral lists this ribosomal RNA (497 nucleotides) under uncultured bacterium. RNAcentral describes it as "partial 16S ribosomal RNA". It matches the Rfam family "Bacterial small subunit ribosomal RNA", at positions 28 to 507 of the family's 1533-position model. The record is from RNAcentral.